Molecule: transfer RNA, 65 nt
Filed under: Hediste japonica
Lineage: Eukaryota; Metazoa; Annelida; Polychaeta; Phyllodocida; Nereididae
Description: tRNA-Asn
Source: RNAcentral
UAAGUGAAAGCCAAUAAGGCGCUUAUCUGUUACAUAAGUUUCUGCUAUAUAAUUAGCUCACUUAG